UUGCAGAGGAUGCUUUUGGCGCGGUGCCUUCCGAGUUCCCUGGAACGGGACGCCUUAGAGGGUGAGAGCCCCGUACGGUUGGACACCAAGCCUCUGUAAAGCUCCUUCGACGAGUCGAGUAGUUUGGGAAUGCUGCUCUAAAUGGGAGGUAAAUUUCUUCUAAAGCUAAAUAUUGGCCAGAGACCGAUAGCGCACAAGUAGAGUGAUCGAAAGAUGAAAAGCACUUUGAAAAGAGGGUUAAACAGCACGUGAAAUUGUUGAAAGGGAAGCGUUUGCGACCAGACCUUUUCCUGGCGGAUCAUCCGGUGGUUUCCACCGGUGCACUUCGCCAGGUCGAGGCCAGCAUCGGUCUCUGUAGGGGGAUAAAAGCCCAGGGAACGUAGCUCCUCAGGGAGUGUUAUAGCCCUCCGCAUAAUACCCUUAUGGGGACCGAGGACCGCGCCUUCGGGCAAGGAUGCUGGCGUAAUGGUUGUCAACGACCCGUCUUGAAACACGGACCAAGGAGUCGAACAUUUGUGCGAGUGUUUGGGUGUUAAACCCUCACGCGUAAUGAAAGUGAACGGAGGUGAGAGCCCUUACGGGUGCAUCAUCGACCGAUCCUGAUGUCUUCGGAUGGAUUUGAGUAAGAGCAUAACUGUUCGGACCCGAAAGAUGGUGAACUAUGCGUGGAUAGGGUGAAGCCAGAGGAAACUCUGGUGGAGGCUCGCAGCGGUUCUGACGUGCAAAUCGAUCGUCAAAUCUGCGCAUGGGGGCGAAAGACUUAUCGAACCAUCUAGU
Molecule: ribosomal RNA, 777 nt
Filed under: Euepixylon udum
Lineage: Eukaryota; Fungi; Ascomycota; Sordariomycetes; Xylariales; Xylariaceae
Description: eukaryotic LSU rRNA
Rfam family: Eukaryotic large subunit ribosomal RNA
Source: RNAcentral